RNAcentral lists this ribosomal RNA (253 nucleotides) under uncultured bacterium. RNAcentral's name for it is "partial 16S ribosomal RNA". It matches the Rfam family "Bacterial small subunit ribosomal RNA", at positions 524 to 776 of the family's 1533-position model. The record is from RNAcentral.
UACGAAGGGGGCUAGCGUUGUUCGGAAUUACUGGGCGUAACGGGCGCGUAGGCUGUGCUGUAAGUCAGGCGUGACAUCCCCGGGCUCAACCUGGGAAUUGCGCAUGAUACUGCGGCGCUUGAAGACGGGAGAGGAUGGCGGAAUUCACAGUGUAGAGGUGAAAUUCGUAGAUAUUGGGAAGAACACCAGUGGCGAAGGCGGCUAACUGGUCCGAUACUGACGCUGAGGUGCGAAAGCGUGGGGAGCAAACAGG